AAUAGUCCCGUCCAUUUGGCAAAGUCUGCAGCCGAGCCCCCCAAUAUUCCACACAUUGACCCGGUUACAGCCUGACCUCGCAGCCCCUUCGGAUUAGCCCGGCGCGGCCUCCCUGGCGCCCUGGGCCCUCCCUGCGUGCCCCCCACGAGCGCCCUGCCCUCGCUCCCCUGUGCACGUUUGUUGUUGUAGCGGAGCGAAAAAGAGACAGUUAACCGGAUGAAACUUUUUUUCAGCUAAUUUUGGGAAGUGACUUCACUUUGCGAAUCGGGGAGGAAGCGCUCUCUCUCUCUCUCUCUCUCUCUCUCUCUCUCUCUCUCUCUCUCUCUCGCUGUCUCGCGCUCUCCUCUCCUCUCCCCUCUGCUCUCCCUCGUCUUCCCUCCCCCCACACCCCCUCUUCCUCCCCUCUGCUGGUCCUGCUUUUCGCAUCACACACACUAUAUAAAUAUACCCGGAGAUGCCCAGAUACAUUCAUGCGCAGCGCACACAGGAUACUUGCUCCUGGGAGAUAAGAGCGAGCUGGGAACAAUGCCGGGAUCCACGCCCGGCGCCCGCGCCCUGAUCCCCGCAAGCUGCACCCCCAGCCCCAACACCUUCCCCAAAAGUCCAAAACCAAACGUCUUUGGCCUCCUUCCUUUUCCCGGGGCCGUUGGCCGAAGGUGGCCCUCCUGACUCAUUCACUUUCCGUUUCUUCCCACAGAUACAUUCAUUAAUGCUUUUUCCAGCCGGAGUCAAACUUACUGGGGGUUGGGGGGGGAGUUAACUCGGGCUGGGGAUAACCUGGAGCCUACUGCCGGGGAAGAUCCGGACGCAGACCGAAGCAAACCAACCAUUAAAAAAUGCAUCCAAUGGGAAUUUUUCCACUCCAGNNNNNNNNNNNNNNNNNNNNNNNNNNNNNNNNNNNNNNNNNNNNNNCUCGGGGCGCUUUCGGAAGGACCCCACCGUCGGGGGCGCGGACUAGGCUCCCAGCGCAUUGUUAGCAGAAGGGCGCCCUCACGGGCAGCGCUCCUCGGCCCUUUGCUCCUGGAGAGUUCCCGGCGCCCGCCCAGGGCCGGGACCGGAGGCACCCAGGGCCACCUACCCGCGCCUCCUAGGGUCAAACCCUUCGCACUUUACCUGGACCGGAUGGCCCAAGUGCCGGCGCUCGGUCAGAGCCGCCUAUGCAAUGCUACUCCGAGCACUGAGAAAGCCACAGCACCGCAGGACAUUCCCUCCACGCUGGUCAGCAGGUCUCCAGAGCGCAGCACGCAAGAUCGCCGCACAGACUCAGACUCCCCCCCCGGGUUACCUUGUCCACGCUCUCCAGACCACGCUUUGGACUUUUUCACUUUUAUUUAAGAGUCCACCCGGGGAAGGAGGAAAAAAAAAAAUCCAGAGGAGAUCCGAGUCAGUUGGAAAGAAAAAAAAGUUCAAAAGGGUGUCCACAGCAGCGAAAAAGGUGACUUAUUAAUUCUUUAUUUCUUCUGGAGCAAUUGAGCCAGAAAGCUAGCUCGCCUCCCUCCCCCCCACCCCCCUCU
Molecule: long non-coding RNA, 1514 nt
Filed under: Ursus maritimus (polar bear)
Lineage: Eukaryota; Metazoa; Chordata; Mammalia; Carnivora; Ursidae
Description: lncRNA (ENSUMAG00000002902.1)
Source: RNAcentral